UUUUCUUCUCAGGAGGUGAGAACAUAGCAGGAUCGAGUCGGGGUAUGGAAUGAAGGUUCUAGAGAGAGUUGUUUAGUAGUCCUCACCAUUUUUGUAAAAUAAUGUAUCAAUAAUUAUGAUGAGGAUUUAUUUGCGUGUGGAUAUUGUCUAGACGGCAAUAUCUGUAUUUAAACUCACAGUAUGUAUUGUCGUAUUUCACAC
Molecule: long non-coding RNA, 201 nt
Filed under: Panax ginseng (ginseng)
Lineage: Eukaryota; Viridiplantae; Streptophyta; Magnoliopsida; Apiales; Araliaceae
Description: long non-coding RNA (PGIN_LNC007246)
Source: RNAcentral